RNAcentral lists this long non-coding RNA (1010 nucleotides) under Ananas comosus (pineapple). Its description in RNAcentral is "long non-coding RNA (ACOM_LNC013963)". Lineage: Eukaryota; Viridiplantae; Streptophyta; Magnoliopsida; Poales; Bromeliaceae. The record is from RNAcentral.
UUUUUUAAAUCCAUGGAGUGAGGCUGGUCUUUUGGAAGUAAAGAGUUCUCCGUGCUUCUAAAUCGUUUUCGAUGUUGAAAUUUUUGAAUCGACGAUCGGCUCCAUUAGACUUGAUCUAAAUUAUUUGAAAUAUUUAAAAAAUAAAUUUUGUAAUUUUUCGAUAUUAUUUACCUAAUGAUCGAAGGGCUCAAAAUGAUUCAAAAGUUUCAAUAUCGAAAAUGAUUUGAAAGCACGGAGGGUUCUAUGCUUCCAAAAGCAUACCAUUCUGACUCAAAUCAGAGGCCUCUUUGUUUCCAAGUUGUUUUCAAUGAUGCGGUUUCCAAAUCGACGAUCGGCUCCGUUAGACUUGAUCUACACUAUUAAAAGUAUUUAGAAACUAAAUUUCAUAAUUUUUCGGCAUUAUUUGGCUAGUGAUCAAAAGGUCUUAAAAUUGACAAUUUUAAUGAUAGAUGUGGCACGUUUGUGAAUUUAACGGUGUAAAACACCUUAAAUCUGAUGAAAUUUUUAUAAUUUUUUUUUUUCAUUAUUUAGAGUAAGAUCAAUACCUGAUCUUAAAUUCAAGUCUUUUAUCAUCAUUUUUUAUGAGAUUUUUAUUUUCAGCCGUUUAUUUUUAGACUACUCGUUUGAUAGGUAAAUGAUGCCGAAAAAUUAUGAAAUUUAGUUUUCAAAUAUUUUCAAUAGUGUAGAUCAAAUCUAACGGAGCCGAUCGUCAAUUUGGAAGCCGCAAUAUUGAAAACAACUUGAUAGCACGGAGGCCUCCGUACUACCAGUAGUAUACCAGCCUAGUUCUAUAUAUAUAUAUAUAUGUAUGUAUGUAUGUAUUCGAGAUUUUCGAGCCUAAUUCGAGCGAGCCAAGUAAUACUCAAACUCAGUUUGAAAUGAAUUUCGAGCUUUUUUUUUUGUUUAAGUUCGGCUCAUUUAAUUUCGAGUGAAGCUCGAGCGAGUCGAAUAUCAAGCCGAACAUGAGUCAAACGCGAGCCGACUCAUUCAUUUGUCAUCCCUACCCUUAU